UCUCCCUUAAUGGACUGCAGCUUCU
Molecule: non-coding RNA, 25 nt
Filed under: Mus musculus (house mouse)
Lineage: Eukaryota; Metazoa; Chordata; Mammalia; Rodentia; Muridae
Source: RNAcentral